GAUGAACGCUAGCGGCAGGCUUAAUACAUGCAAGUCGAGGGGCAUCGGGGGUAGCAAUACCUGCCGGCGACCGGCAAACGGGUGCGGAACACGUACACAACCUUCCUUUUGGUGGGGGAUAGCCCAGAGUAAAUUUGGAUUAAUACCCCGUAGUAUUGGUAAGUGGCAUCACUUGUCAAUUAAAGAUUUAUUGCCAGAAGAUGGGUGUGCGUCUGAUUAGGUAGUUGGUAGGGGUAACGCCCACCAAGCCUACGAUCAGUAACUGGUGUGAGAGCACGACCAGUCAC
RNAcentral lists this ribosomal RNA (287 nucleotides) under uncultured bacterium. Its description in RNAcentral is "partial 16S ribosomal RNA". It matches the Rfam family "Bacterial small subunit ribosomal RNA", at positions 28 to 311 of the family's 1533-position model. The record is from RNAcentral.